RNAcentral lists this ribosomal RNA (253 nucleotides) under uncultured bacterium. RNAcentral describes it as "partial 16S ribosomal RNA". It matches the Rfam family "Bacterial small subunit ribosomal RNA", at positions 524 to 776 of the family's 1533-position model. The record is from RNAcentral.
UACGAAGGGGGCUAGCGUUGUUCGGAAUUACUGGGCGUAAAGCGCACGUAGGCGGAAUGUUAAGUCAGGGGUGAAAUCCCGGGGCUCAACCCCGGAACUGCCUUUGAUACUGGCAUUCUCGAGUCCGGAAGAGGUGAGUGGAAUUCCGAGUGUAGAGGUGAAAUUCGUAGAUAUUCGGAGGAACACCGAUGGCGAAGGCAGCCCCCUGGGCUAACACUGACGCUCAUGCACGAAAGCGUGGGGAGCAAACAGG